Molecule: ribosomal RNA, 662 nt
Filed under: Heterochaete sp. USJ 55639
Lineage: Eukaryota; Fungi; Basidiomycota; Agaricomycetes; Auriculariales; Exidiaceae
Description: eukaryotic LSU rRNA
Rfam family: Eukaryotic large subunit ribosomal RNA
Source: RNAcentral
AUAAGCGGAGGAAAAGAAACUAACAAGGAUUCCCCUAGUAACGGCGAGUGAAGCGGGAAGAGCUCAAAUUUGAAAUCUGGCGGUCUACGGCCGUCCGAGUUGUAAUCUAGAGAGGUGUUUUCCGUGCCGGACCGUGUACAAGUCCCUUGGAACAGGGCGUCAUAGAGGGUGAGAAUCCCGUCCAUGACACGGACUACCGGUGCUCUGUGAUACACCUUCAAAGAGUCGAGUUGUUUGGGAAUGCAGCUCAAAAUGGGUGGUAAAUUCCAUCUAAAGCUAAAUACAGGCGAGAGACCGAUAGCGAACAAGUACCGUGAGGGAAAGAUGAAAAGAACUUUGGAAAGAGAGUUAAACAGUACGUGAAAUUGUUGAAAGGGAAACGCUUGAAGUCAGUCGCGUCUGUCAGGACUCAGCCUUGCUUUUGCUUGGUGCAUUUCCUGGUGGAUGGGCCAGCAUCGAUUUUGGUCGCCGGACAAGGGCGGGAGGAAUGUGGCAGCUUGCUGUGUUAUAGCCUCUCGUCGUACACGGUGACUGGGAUCGAGGACUGCAGCACGCCUUUGGUCGGGGUUCGCCCACGCCACGUGCUUAGGAUGCUGGCGUAAUGGCUUUAAACGACCCGUCUUGAAACACGGACCAAGGAGUCUAACAUGCCUGCGAGUGUU